Molecule: non-coding RNA, 114 nt
Organism: Acanthosepion pharaonis
Lineage: Eukaryota; Metazoa; Mollusca; Cephalopoda; Sepiida; Sepiidae
Source: the annotation of a GenBank genome assembly
UUACGGCCAUAUCACUUUGAAACACCGGUUCCAGCACGAUCACUGAAGUUAAGCAACGUCGAGCUUGGUCAGUACCUAGAUGGGUGACAUCUUUGGAAUACCAAGUGCAGUAAG